Long non-coding RNA from Amphiprion ocellaris (clown anemonefish), 380 nucleotides. RefSeq lists it as uncharacterized. NCBI's taxonomy places the organism in Eukaryota, Metazoa, Chordata, Actinopteri, Pomacentridae. The transcript is spliced from 3 exons. The record is from RefSeq and is a predicted model, not a curated record.
AGCUUCGCUCCAAAGUCCUGCAGGUAGUUGUAGCUGAGGUCCAGCUGUCUCAGAUGGAACGGGUUGGAGCUCAGUGCAGAAGCCAGAUGAGUGCAGCCCUCCUCUGUGACCCCACAGAAUGACAGCCUGUAUACCGGUCAUUGCCACUCAGAUCCAGCUCCCUCAUGUUGGAGCUGCUGGAGCUGAGGACUGAGGCCAAAUCAGCACAGCAUUCCUGGAGAUUGCACUCACUUAAUCUGCAGUCUACACCUCUGGACUCAGGAGGAAGGAACAGUUACCUGGAGUACGGUGUGACUCCUGCACCUUUCACCUGCAUCUCCCAUCUCCCCUGGGUGCCCGCCUCCACCUCCCCCAGGUACAUCACCGCUCCGUCCCCCAGC